GAGGGACUCGACCAACCAUGAUGCUCGGUUAAGUCAACACCUUCGUUACAAGAUGAGUUUGAUUUGAUGAUAUACUCUCGAGGGACUCGACCAAGUAUACCAUGCCCUCAGGUCACCGGUGACAUCUCUAUGUCGUAAGCAAGAUAGCGAAUCACGAUAUAGGUGAGUCUCGAGGGACUCAACCAACUCAACCUACACCGGGAAUCGGUUCCUACUUAUAACGAUGGAAGGCCACGUGGGUCAAUCUAAUUGCCUCACGUUUACCGACUUAAUAUUAUCGAGAAAUGUUUCUAUGAUUUGGUCUCCUAAUAUGACAUGUCACACAUAUACAUAUUUAAUAUAUAUCUACAUCGCAUGCAAAUAUAUAUACAUAUCUAGUAUGUGCAUAAGCAAUCACACCAGAUGAUCAUGGACCACAACCUAAUAUGAUUAGGCCCGAGCUAGUAGGCCUAAUCACUCACAUCAAGAUCUAUGUGUGCA
RNAcentral lists this long non-coding RNA (480 nucleotides) under Musa acuminata (dwarf banana). Its description in RNAcentral is "long non-coding RNA (MACU_LNC009503)". Lineage: Eukaryota; Viridiplantae; Streptophyta; Magnoliopsida; Zingiberales; Musaceae. The record is from RNAcentral.